Perca flavescens (yellow perch) is the source of this 445-nucleotide long non-coding RNA. RefSeq lists it as uncharacterized. The transcript is spliced from 3 exons. Lineage: Eukaryota; Metazoa; Chordata; Actinopteri; Perciformes; Percidae. The record is from RefSeq and is a predicted model, not a curated record.
UACACCAGUCACCCCACAUCGUCUCUCGGGGACUUGGCAUCGGACCAGCGGCUAGUUUUCUCCUAAACUACACUCUGGCUCCUGGGGCAGGGAGGCGAGAAAACUACUUACCACCAGACACCACCAGAUUUUACCACUGACUACCAGCUGUUCCACAAGGGCAGCUAGGUGUUGAGAGUCUUUUAAUAUUUUACUUGGCAGGUAAAACCAAGGGUCAGACUGAAUUGUUCAGUUGGCUGUUUUUAAGGAAUAUUGAUGGCAUCGAAAAGUAUGUGUGAUCUUGUUUCCUGGGGACCUCGGGACUGGAGGAACAGAGGGAGUUCAUACGAGGCUGCAAAAUACACCAGAGAAGGCCCUCAGGACGAGCCAGUACGGCAGGCUGAUGUUGGCGCUGACUCCCCUAGAGGCUCAACCCCAAGGGCAGCGUAUCGCGUGGCACAACAGA